CAGCCGCCGCGGGAAUACAGAGGGUGCGAGCGUUAAUCGGAUUUACUGGGCGUAAAGCGUGCGUAGGCGGCUAAUUGAGUCGGAUGUGAAAUCCCUGAGCUUAACUUAGGAAUUGCAUUCGAUACUGGGAAGCUAGAGUAUGGGAGAGGAUGGUAGAAUUCCAGGUGUAGCGGUGAAAUGCGUAGAGAUCUGGAGGAAUACCGAUGGCGAAGGCAGCCAUCUGGCCUAAUACUGACGCUGAGGUACGAAAGCAUGGGGAGCAAACAGGAUUAGAUACCCCCGUAGUCCCUGUCUCUUAUAC
RNAcentral lists this ribosomal RNA (301 nucleotides) under uncultured bacterium. RNAcentral describes it as "partial 16S ribosomal RNA". It matches the Rfam family "Bacterial small subunit ribosomal RNA", at positions 509 to 807 of the family's 1533-position model. The record is from RNAcentral.